Lepidothrix coronata (blue-crowned manakin) is the source of this 392-nucleotide long non-coding RNA. RefSeq lists it as uncharacterized. Lineage: Eukaryota; Metazoa; Chordata; Aves; Passeriformes; Pipridae. The record is from RefSeq and is a predicted model, not a curated record. The transcript is spliced from 3 exons.
AGCAGCAGCAGCAGCAGCAGACCUGCCUGGCCUGGAUUUGAGUGCAGGAUUUGUCCCACUAACCACCUCCCCUCGUGGAAAGGUCCUUCCUUGCAUUGCAGUCCAGUGCCACAGCCUCUGCCUCGCCUUCCAUGCCCAUGCAGGCUGCAGGUCCAGCUCCUGACCUCUGAAAGGACUGUUCUUUCAGCAAUAAUGUUCUACAUUGUACAGAGAUCAAGAAGGAAUGACUCUGAGGACUGAACUUCAGCAGCAAGUCCAACAGCUCCCCAGAAUCCCAGAUGAGCCAUGAUUGCUACAUCUGGGAUUAUUGACCUAUUCUUGGAAAAGAAUAGGAACAGAAGAGUUAUAACACAAAUCUCGUGCCAGAGCUUCCAGUGAAGUGCCUCACUGAG